Molecule: ribosomal RNA, 450 nt
Filed under: uncultured bacterium
Lineage: Bacteria
Description: partial 16S ribosomal RNA
Rfam family: Bacterial small subunit ribosomal RNA
Source: RNAcentral
GUGGGGAAUAUUCCGCAAUGGACGAAAGUCUGACGGAGCAACGCCGCGUGAGUGAUGAAGGUUUUCGGACUGUAAAGCUCUGUUGUUUGGGACGAAAGUGCCUGUUGCGAACAGUUACGGGUAUUGACGGUACUAAACGAGGAAGCCACGGCUAACUACGUGCCAGCAGCCGCGGUAAUACGUAGGUGGCAAGCGUUGUCCGGAAUUAUUGGGCGUAAAGAGCAUGUAGGCGGGAAUCUAAGUCUGUUGUUAAAAUGCGGGGCUCAACCCCGUAUUGCGAUGGAAACUGGGUUUCUUGAGUGCAGGAGAGGAAAGGGGAAUUCCCAGUGUAGCGGUGAAAUGCGUAGAUAUUGGGAGGAACACCAGUGGCGAAGGCGCCUUUCUGGACUGUGUCUGACGCUGAGAUGCGAAAGCCAGGGUAGCGAACGGGAUUAGAUACCCUGGUAGUCC